This 3705-nucleotide long non-coding RNA is filed under the name Marmota monax (woodchuck). Lineage: Eukaryota; Metazoa; Chordata; Mammalia; Rodentia; Sciuridae. The record is from RNAcentral.
CCACAGCUAUGAAGCAGUGUGGCAAGGUCCUCAGAGAGCCCUGCGCUGGGGUCCGUCUGCCGGCCAGGAUUGGGGAAGGCUUUCCACAGGAAGCAAUGUCCCCUGGGCUCUGAGGGAUGAGCAGGAGUUUCACCUGGGGGGAGUGGGGAGGGGCCUUUCAGGCUGCAAACACAGUCAGGGUAGACAUGGAGGUGCAGGCCGUGUCCCGGGAGGCACAGGGGCCGAGUCCAGGCCGGCUGGCAGAAGAUCCUCAGGCCGGCCACUUCCCCUCGCAGGGCCCCCGUUUCCCUGUCUGCACAUGAGGGGGAAGACGUGGACAGUGCUGGGCAAAGGCUCAUGUCCCCUGCUGAAUUUCCAUGUCGUUUUGGAAACCAGGGUUUUUUCUGUCCACGAUGGUGGCUCUCAAGCCAGAGCUUGUGCUUUCCCAGGGAGAGCCGCCUGUCCCUGUCACGGUCCCCACUCCUGGCCCUGGUGGGGCAGGCAGGGGGCACAUGCGACAGAGACAGAAUCCUGCUUCCAAGACAAGCCACAUGGACCUGGUGAUGGGCAGACACAGCUGAGCACCUGCCCAGGACGCCCAGGCUCCAUGAGUCCAGGCAGGAACCCAGGGAGGACCAGGCAGCCCCAGAUGAAGUGUGGGGAGGGGCCGCAGCAGCCCUGCACAACAACAGGCUCCCGCCACCCAGCCCUGCAGAGGGCCUGCCCACGAUACCGCCCGGCGGUGACUGUCCUCGUGGCCCGAGGCUCUGCCGGGUCUCCCAGCUUCCCACAUCCUCCUCAGCCCCGUCCCAGUGCAGAGGACUGGCCCAGAGGGCUUGACCCCUGGGAAGAAGCCUGGGGAGCUGAGGCCUACGCACCCACAAAACUGCCAUCUCCCCUAUAGCCCUGAGUGACCAGCCUGGGGAGCGGCUGCAGGGCCACUGCCUUCAGCCAGGUUCACUGACCAAGAAACCAGGACACCUUGGGCAACCUCCCUCACCCUUUCGCAAAGCCCCUAUGCCCACCCUGAGACCCGCUCAGCUCCCCUGCCAGGAGCCCUCCAGUGUGUCCACGGCCCUGCCUCUGCGUGACCAGGCACCAGACGGAGGUGGCAGGAAGGAGCACCUAGUACCCCCUAGGGCUGGGGGACUAUGGGACAUGGAAGAGCCUCUGGCUGCAGAAAGGCCCAGGAGGAGGAGGAGGAGGAGGAAGGGGGAUGGCUGGGGAGGAAUGGCCGGAGCUCGGGCAAGCAGGUCCCAGGUCGAAGCUUUGCCAAGCAGGGCUGUCUCUGCCCGGAGCCGUGGUGUGUGGGCAUCGGUAGAGGAUUCUUGCCCUGGGCAGGAGUUGGUCGGAGGCAACAUCCGGCCCCGAAGUCGGCGUCACAGGUCCCUUGAGUCCCAACAUGCCUGUCUCCUAGAGUCCAGGAGCCGUGGCAGGUGGGCCUGCAGAACCUCACUGGUAGUGCAGCCUGGAGGGGCCGCACAGUGGUCCCUGGAUGACCCCGCCCCAGCACCUGGCUCAUGGAGCAGCCUGGACCACGCCCCUCCAGGCAGCCCACUGCCAUUCAGCUUGCAAUGCUUCUGGUCACCAUCCCCAGGCAGCCCGCUCCUCUUGCAAGGCCCAGGGCGAAGGGCCCCUUUCUCCAGGAAGCCCAUCCUGCUCCCCAGCCCAGCUUGGUCCAGGGGAGCCGCUCACCCCAGAAGACCGGAGCCACCAAGGCACAGUGCUGGAACCAAGGGUGGGCAGUUGUGCAGGGGCCAGGGGUAGGGAGAGAGCCCAUCAAGCACGGAGCUCUGAGCCUGUCACCUCUCCUGGACACUUCCAUGGCUUCGGGGACCACUCCCAACAGCCAAGAAGUGGAGACAGCCCAAAUUCGCAUCAACAGGAACAAUCAGCAGCUCGACAAAAGUGUUUUACAACCGCAGAAGCAGCAACUCUGACCCCACCCUGAAAACACCAGGCCGAGUGGGAGAAGCCGGCGCGGGGACUGGCGCUGGGCGGGCCACCUGCAGGCGGUCCCUGGAACAGGCAGAGGCAGAGGCAGACGGGGGGGUGCCAGGGCGGGUGGGUGGAGAGGCGCAGCUCCGGAACUGGGUUUGGAGAUGGCUGCACCUUCUUCACCGGGGACUCAGCGCCACCGACAGGUCCACUUUAAAACGCUCAACUUGGUGCCUCGUGGAUUUCAUCCCAAUAAAAAAAGGUAUCGUGAAGCAUCCUGACCCGAAAACAAGGAUCGCAGCACCCCACAGGGGGGCGACGAUCAAGGAAAGUGCUGCUUGUGGCCAGGAAGACGCUGGAGCCCAUCCCAGGCUUAGCCCUCAGUGAGUGGCCAAGUGUGAGAGGGAUGGGAAUCGUGGCUAAAAAUGCUCUGAAAAUGACCUGCAGGCCCCACUCACCCGACCCUUCCAGGGAGACCUCCCAUGUGCGAGAGACUGACGGCAGCUCCACCCCGCGCUGCACAGCGCCCCCAGCAUGCCUCUUGGGCUGAAGGUGCCUUGGAGACCCGCCCUGGGCAGGGCCUGGGUGUGGGGCGUCACGGGUACUGUGCCAGCCUGCAUGCAUGCCUGCCAGCUCAGUGGGCUGUGCCUGUGGGCAGAAGCCAGUGACGGGUUCCUGUGACUGUCACUGGAUCCUGGAAUUGGCCUGCCCCGCCCUGCCCCAGUCGCAGUUGGCAGGGCUCCGGUCAGCAUGGGCCUGGUCCUUGACAGUGCUGCUUUUCUCCGACCGCUGUAACAAGAGACCACCAACACUGUGACCCCUCUCCCAGUCCUGGCGGUCAGAAUUCAAGGUCCAGCUGCCAGCAGGACUGCUUCCUUCUGGAAGCUCCAGGGAAACUCUGUCUCCUGACCUCCUCAGCUGGGCCAGGAAUGUGGGGACUCGGCCUUGACUCCCUCUGCUGCCCCCAGUGUCCCUGCAAGGAAGGGCCACGUCCAGCAGCUCUCUUCUCUCCCCUUGGCCUGCUGGCCAUGUAUCUCCCCAGGUGAGCCAGGAGGGCAGGAUGGGCCUGGGAUGCACUGUGCGGAUGCCGUGCAGGGACCGGGGGCCACAGGCCAGGUGGAGGGCAGCUCCAGCCACCUGGUGGUCCCUGAUUACCCCCUUCCAUUCUGGGCAGGACUAGUUCUACCCUGGAGCCUCCCCAGCCCAUCCCUGGAGCCCCCAACAGCUCAGGGCUCUCCUCCCCACCAGGGCCGCCACCUCCCCGCCAAGCCCAGCUUGCACACUGAGCCCACUUGGAGACCCUCCCUGCUGCUCUGCCUGUUCCCCUGCAGGCCACCCUCUGUCCCUUCUGCCCAUACUACACUUCUUGGCCCCUGCUGGUCACUGACCAACCCUCUGCAAAACCCCCAGAACCGCACUUGCCCCUCAGCUGCCCCUGUCAGAUGGCGCUCCCCAGGAUGUCUUCACUGAGGGUACCCUCUCGGUCCCAGUGCUGGGGGCCCAGCACCUAGCAGACCUGGAAUUGUCAACCAGGUAUCUUCAAAGGCAUGUCCCUGGCACCAGCCCCCUGCCCCCACCCUGGCACCCUUGGCACAGCCUUGGCAACCUUCCUUGUCCUCCAAGGCCUCAACCUCAACAGCCACUCAAAUAAAUUAAUGUUCCCAUCUCUGCUGACUCAUGGAAGAGAACAUCGGGGGCUCCUGCCAAUGACCGUCACCCCCAGCCGGCCAGGGAACAGGCCUGAGUCCUUGGGGACCUUGCCCUGAGCCUGAGAUACUGCCAAUUGUC